Molecule: non-coding RNA, 136 nt
Organism: Hordeum vulgare subsp. vulgare (domesticated barley)
Lineage: Eukaryota; Viridiplantae; Streptophyta; Magnoliopsida; Poales; Poaceae
Source: Rfam
CACAUAUUCCCUCCGUCCUAAAAUUCUUGUCUUAGGUUUGUCUAAAAAUGAAUGUAUCUAAAUACUAAAAUAUGACUAGAUACACUCAUAUUUAGACAAAUCUAAGAAAAGAAUUUUGGGAUGAAGGAAGUAUUUG